Molecule: long non-coding RNA, 1573 nt
Organism: Nannospalax galili (Upper Galilee mountains blind mole rat)
Lineage: Eukaryota; Metazoa; Chordata; Mammalia; Rodentia; Spalacidae
Exons: 3
Source: RefSeq, a predicted model, not a curated record
CCCUCCCCCGUCCACCCUGCCGGCGGGGCCUCUCCGGCUCAGCUCCGGCUCGGGUGGAAGCCAAGCUGCGGACCGGAACUGUGGGAUCGGGUCGGGCCUGACUGGGGAGGGGAGGGUGUCAACACCGAGGCGGCCCGUGGCGGGUCGGGUGCGGCCGGCGGCGGUGGCUUCACUAGACAACUCCACUUGCAGUUUCGGUUCUGUACGUCAUCUUUCGGACACGGAGAGCGUCUAAAACCGAGAAAAGCCCACGAUCGCGUGCACACACCCCGGUAGGAACCGACCCCCGCUGUGAGCGCCCUGAGCGUUCGGGCUCGGAAAACCGAAACCCUCUGAGCCUACUCCCGAAAAGCAAAAGGGAGGUAUCACUGCUGCCGGAAGAGCAGACCCCCCGGGCGGAGCGCAGCCCAGGCUAUCCCUUACUCGGACUGGAAAGCUGGACCCCGGCUGCGAGACUCCACACGUGCAAGGUGAUGGGUCACCCGCAUCUCCCGAGCGUCUCCGCCCGUGUGCAGGCGGCGACUCGCUGCGCUUUUUUGCAUCUCCUGAAGCCGCUACCACGGUCAAAAUAGUGAAGUCCCCUGCCCAGCGGCCAGCGUGUGGACGUGGACGGCCCCCAUUCGGGCAGACCUCGGCUUCCAGGCACAGCCUAACCAAAAGCAUAGUUUUCUCGGAUGGCUGCAGAAAGAAAUAGAGGCAAAGAGCCUUCUGAAUUGUUUUCAGGGUUUAACCCCCUGCGGGCCUUUUCACGUUUGUUACCUUUACAGCCAAAGGAAGUCUGGAGUUGCAAAGAAGGCUGUCAAGGCCCAUAGCCAUGGAGCCAGCCAGCUGUGAAGACCAGGCUAUGGAGACCAGGCUGGCCUGGACACUCAGGUCCAAAACCAGGAUCCCAAGUAAAUCCUGCCUCCCGCCUCCAUUUUCCAGAAUGUUCUCAUACUGCCAAAAAAAUGACUAACACAGAAGCACUGAAGGAACCUAACACAAUAAAGGUUUUCCAGAGGUUUUCCUAUUACCAUGUCAGUCAUGGAAAUUACACAUUCUGGGACCAAAUGGCAAAAAUUUAGAAGGACACAGCUAGCCUUUCAAUCAUAAAUAUAUAUAUAUAUAUAUUGUACCUUGGAGGACCAGGGAAGGUAUAUUACUGGCAAUGGAGAAGAAUCAACAUCUCAGUAAACUUCAAGCAAGCAUGAUGAUUCUCCAAGAGCCUUGAAGACAAGUGAGUCAAUAAAAAUUCAUAGGAGAGAGCCAUUCUUACCAACUGAAGGUCUAUGAAAUGUCACUGAAUGCUUGUCUUUCUUUAGAGCUCAGUCCUUAUUGUUUUGUUUAGUGACUGUGGAAAGAUCCAUCUGGUUCUCUCCAGGUUCGCUAUGAAUGGUGUCCACCUGUUUUCCCCUGAAAGCUAGGUCUUAAGUUUCUUGAACUUGUACCACUGAGCUACAUCUCCAGCCUGGUAUUUUUGUUGAUUGUGGGUUUUUUUGUUUCUUUUUGUGUCGUUUUUUUUGGAAUCAAACUUUUGCAACUGUGGAAGGUCUACUGAAAACUUAAAUAGUAGAUUAAAAAAAUUUUUUAUGUA